CAGCAGCCGCGGUAAAACGUAGGUGGCAAGCGUUGUCCGGAAUUAUUGGGCGCAAAGGGCUCGCAGGCGGUUUCUUAAGUCUGAUGUGGAAGCCCCCGGCUCAACCGGGGAGGGUCAUUGGAAACUGGGAAACUUGAGUGCAGAAGAGGAGAGUGGAAUUCCACGUGUAGCGGUGAGAUGCGUAGAGAUGUGGAGUAACGCCAGUGGCGAAGGCGACUCUCUGGUCUGUAACUGACGCUGAGGAGCGAAAGCGUGGGGAGCGAACAGGAUUAGAUACCCCUGUAGUCCCUGUCUCUUAUAC
This 301-nucleotide ribosomal RNA is filed under the name uncultured bacterium. RNAcentral describes it as "partial 16S ribosomal RNA". It matches the Rfam family "Bacterial small subunit ribosomal RNA", at positions 509 to 807 of the family's 1533-position model. The record is from RNAcentral.